UUUAUACUUUGGAUCAUCAUUCGCUGCUUGUUCUGCUUUUGUGAACCUGUGUUGCGCAGAUUUGAUGCUACCAAGUUGAAGCAAGGCACGGCCUAUACCACUUUGAAGGUAAACGGCAUCACUGGAAAAUUGAAGUUAAGGUGAUGCAGGAUCUGGCAAUGUGAGAGAAAAAAGAAAAAGGAAAUUUAAGAAGAGAGUUUUGUUUUAAACCAUUACCCCAUAACACAGCAGGUAUUUUAGUUACGUGUCAAUAAUUCUACAGAUUGUAUUUGUUUUAAAAUUUUGUAAUAAAAGAAGAAAAAUGGAGUAUUUUGGUACUUUUUGUUUAUUUUUUUCUAUAUACCAGCUUAAAUAUAGAAUUUCUUUUUAACUCUCAUUCGUUUAAGUUUCAGUCCGUAAUACCUUAUAGUUAUAAUUUAUUAAAACACUUACCUUUUCACAAGUAUCUUGUAAUGCAUACAAUCGUCCGAGUGCUUCAUCUGGUUUAUUAUUAUGCAGAGGAAACUGUGCAUGCAGUACACGCAUGGAGAAGGGAACCAUACUACCUCUUCUACCUGGAAAAUUUGAUUGUUUUAAACAUGAAAACUUAAAGAGAAAACACUGAUAUGGAAAAAAUGACGAAAUUUUGGUCACCAAUGGCGAAAAAUUGACAGAUCAAGACAGUAACAUAUCUACCUGUAAAGAAACUGGUGAAUUUUCACUUGGUUGGGUUGCAUGUCCAAAUCCUUGGCCAAGAUCCGUGAGAAUCUUUCCACACAAAUCAACAGCUGCUCGUAGAUCACCACUUGUCUGAAUGAAAGGAUAUCCAGGAAAAGUAGAAUAAAUGAAUAAAAGUUUAAUAUAAAUGGAUUUGAAGAAAGUCUUGUCGAAUGGCAGAGGAAACAUUAGAAAUACACUAUGUUUUUCAUACCAGAUGAGCCGUUAAAGAUUAUGUAAAUUGAUAAGUACACCACUUGCUGUGACAACACACUGCACCAGUAUUUUGUAUUGUGUUUUAAUCACUAUCACAUCUCACUUGCAUUUUUUGAAUAAAUGACAUUUAUUUA
This is a non-coding RNA of Ciona intestinalis (vase tunicate), 1046 nucleotides long. NCBI's taxonomy places the organism in Eukaryota, Metazoa, Chordata, Ascidiacea, Phlebobranchia, Cionidae. The record is from RefSeq and is a predicted model, not a curated record.